Molecule: transfer RNA, 90 nt
Filed under: Ralstonia solanacearum
Lineage: Bacteria; Pseudomonadati; Pseudomonadota; Betaproteobacteria; Burkholderiales; Burkholderiaceae
Also listed under: 1 other name
Description: tRNA-Ala
Source: RNAcentral
GCCUACGGUCGGCGGGUUCCAGGUGCGCGUCUGGCCGGCGCGGCGCUCGGCCCACGGGCGCCAGGUGGUGGUGAGGCCACCGGUGCGCAC